RNAcentral lists this ribosomal RNA (441 nucleotides) under uncultured bacterium. RNAcentral's name for it is "partial 16S ribosomal RNA". It matches the Rfam family "Bacterial small subunit ribosomal RNA", at positions 338 to 795 of the family's 1533-position model. The record is from RNAcentral.
CCUACGGGUGGCAGCAGUGGGGAAUAUUGCACAAUGGGGGAAACCCUGAUGCAGCGACGCCGCGUGAGUGAAGAAGUAAUUCGUUAUGUAAAGCUCUAUCAGCAGGGAAGAAAAUGACGGUACCUGAGUAAGAAGCCCCGGCUAACUACGUGCCAGCAGCCGCGGUAAUACGUAGGGGGCAAGCGUUAUCCGGAUUUAUUGGGUUUAAAGGGUGCGUAGGCUGUGAGGUAAGUCAGCGGUGAAAUGCCCCCGCUCAACGGGGUGAAGUGCCAUUGAUACUGCCUUGCUGGAAUGCGGAUGCCGUGGGAGGAAUGUGUGGUGUAGCGGUGAAAUGCUUAGAUAUCACGAAGAACUCCGAUUGCGAAGGCAGCUUACUAAACUGCCACUGACAUUGAUGCUCGAAAGUGUGGGUAUCAAACAGGAUUAGAUACCCGAGUAGUC